AUACGGAGGGUGCAAGCGUUAAUCGGAAUUACUGGGCGUAAAGAGUACGUAGGCGGUUUGUUAAGUUAGAUGUGAAAGCCCCGGGCUUAACCUGGGAACUGCAUUUAAAACUGGCAAACUCGAGUUGGGUAGAGGGAAGUGGAAUUUCAGGUGUAGCGGUGAAAUGCGUAGAGAUCUGAAGGAACACCAGUGGCGAAGGCGACUUCCUGGACUCAAACUGACGCUGAGGUACGAAAGCGUGGGUAGCAAACGGGAUUAGAUACCCCAGUAGUCC
Molecule: ribosomal RNA, 274 nt
Filed under: uncultured bacterium
Lineage: Bacteria
Description: partial 16S ribosomal RNA
Rfam family: Bacterial small subunit ribosomal RNA
Source: RNAcentral